UGGGGAAUAUUGCACAAUGGGCGAAAGCCUGAUGCAGCAACGCCGCGUGAGGGACGACGGCCUUCGGGUUGUAAACCUCUUUUAGCAAGGAAGAAGCGAAAGUGACGGUACUUGCAGAAAAAGCGCCGGCUAACUACGUGCCAGCAGCCGCGGUAAUACGUAGGGCGCAAGCGUUAUCCGGAAUUAUUGGGCGUAAAGAGCUCGUAGGCGGUUUGUCGCGUCUGCUGUGAAAACCCGAGGCUCAACCUCGGGCCUGCAGUGGGUACGGGCAGACUAGAGUGCGGUAGGGGAGAUUGGAACUCCUGGUGUAGCGGUGGAAUGCGCAGAUAUCAGGAAGAACACCGAUGGCGAAGGCAGAUCUCUGGGCCGUAACUGACGCUGAGGAGCGAAAGGGUGGGGAGCAAAACAGGCUUAGAUACCCUGGUAGUCCACCCCGUAAACGUUGGGAACUAGUUGUGGGGUCCAUUCCACGGAUUCCGUGACGCAGCUAACGCAUUAAGUUCCCCGCCUGGGGAGUACGGCCGCAAGGCUAAAACUCAAAUGAAUUGACGGGGUCAUAGCUGUUUCCU
Molecule: ribosomal RNA, 569 nt
Filed under: uncultured bacterium
Lineage: Bacteria
Description: partial 16S ribosomal RNA
Rfam family: Bacterial small subunit ribosomal RNA
Source: RNAcentral